AUUGAACGCUGGCGGCAGGCCUAACACAUGCAAGUCGAACGAGUGGCGGACGGGUGAGUAAUGUCUGGGAAACUGCCCGAUGGAGGGGGAUAACUACUGGAAACGGUAGCUAAUACCGCCUACCAUCGGAUGUGCCCAGAUGGGAUUAGCUAGUCGGUGGGGUAACGGCUCACCUAGGCGACGAUCCCUAGCUGGUCUGAGAGGAUGACCAGCCACACGGGGACUGAGACACGGUCCAGACUCCUACGGUAGGCAGCAGUGUGGAAUAUUGCACAAUGGGCGCAAGCCUGACACAGCCAUGCCGCGUGUAUGAAGAAGGCAUUCGGGUUGUAAAGUACUUUCAGCGAGGAGGCGUUACUCGAAGAAGAAGCACCGGCUAACUCCGUGCCAGCAGCCGCGGUAAUUC
This 406-nucleotide ribosomal RNA is filed under the name uncultured bacterium. RNAcentral's name for it is "partial 16S ribosomal RNA". It matches the Rfam family "Bacterial small subunit ribosomal RNA", at positions 30 to 526 of the family's 1533-position model. The record is from RNAcentral.